RNAcentral lists this unclassified non-coding RNA (20 nucleotides) under Mus musculus (house mouse). RNAcentral's name for it is "oocyte_clustered_small_RNA12855". Lineage: Eukaryota; Metazoa; Chordata; Mammalia; Rodentia; Muridae. The record is from RNAcentral.
UCACAGGGCCCCCAACUGGA